GGGGAAUAUUGGACAAUGGGCGCAAGCCUGAUCCAGCCAUGCCGCGUGAGUGAAGAAGGCCUUCGGGUUGUAAAGCCCUGUGGAGGGGGACGAAUAAGUGUUGGCUAAUAUCCAGCAUGAUGACGGUACCCCUUUAGCAAGCACCGGCUAACUCUGUGCCAGCAGCCGCGGUAAGACAGAGGGGGCAAGCGUUGCUCGGAAUCACUGGGCGUAAAGGGCGUGUAGGCGGGAGCGUGAGUCGGUCGUGAAAUCCUUCGGCUCAACCGAAGAAGGGCGGCCGAUACUGCGUUCCUUGAGGGGUGGAGAGGAGACUGGAAUUCCCGGUGUAGCGGUGAAAUGUGUAGAUAUCGGGAGGAACACCGGUGGCGAAGGCGGGUCUCUGGCCACACCCUGACGCUGAGGCGCGAAAGCGUGGGGAGCAAA
Molecule: ribosomal RNA, 423 nt
Filed under: uncultured bacterium
Lineage: Bacteria
Description: bacterial SSU rRNA
Rfam family: Bacterial small subunit ribosomal RNA
Source: RNAcentral